Molecule: ribosomal RNA, 274 nt
Filed under: uncultured bacterium
Lineage: Bacteria
Description: partial 16S ribosomal RNA
Rfam family: Bacterial small subunit ribosomal RNA
Source: RNAcentral
AUACGGAGGAUCCAAGCGUUAUCCGGAAUCAUUGGGUUUAAAGGGUCCGUAGGCGGGCAAUUAAGUCAGAGGUGAAAGUUUGCGGCUCAACCGUAAAAUUGCCUUUGAAACUGGUUGUCUUGAAUUAUUAUGAAGUGGUUAGAAUAAGUAGUGUAGCGGUGAAAUGCAUAGAUAUUACUUAGAAUACCAAUUGCGAAGGCAGAUUACUAAUAAUAUAUUGACGCUGAUGGACGAAAGCGUGCGGAGCGAACAGGAUUAGAAACCCUAGUAGUCC